This 673-nucleotide ribosomal RNA is filed under the name uncultured bacterium. Its description in RNAcentral is "bacterial SSU rRNA". It matches the Rfam family "Bacterial small subunit ribosomal RNA", at positions 46 to 728 of the family's 1533-position model. The record is from RNAcentral.
GGGAUAACAUGUUGAACGGACGAUACUAGAGUGCUUGCACUUUUAUAAAGUUAGUAGCGGCCGGGUGAGUAACGCGUGAGCAAUCUGCCCUGCAAUGGGGGACAACAGUUGGAAACGACUGCUAAUACCGCAUGAGACCACACUACCGCAUGGUAGAGAGGUAAAAGGAUUUAUUCGAUGCAGGAUGAGCUCGCGUCCCACUAUAUAGUUGGUGAGGUAACGGCCCACCAAGUCAACGAUGGGUAGCCGACCUGAGAGGGUGAUCGGCCACACUGGAACUGAGACACGGUCCAGACUCCUACGGGAGGCAGCAGUGGGGAAUAUUGGGCAAUGGGCGAAAGCCUGACCCAGCAACGCCGCGUGAGGGAAGAAGGUCUUCGGAUUGUAAACCUUUGUCCUUGGGGACGAAACAAAUGACGGUACCCAAGGAGGAAGCUCCGGCUAACUACGUGCCAGCAGCCGCGGUAAUACGUAGGGAGCAAGCGUUGUCCGGAAUUACUGGGCGUAAAGGGUGCGUAGGUGGCCAUGUAAGUCAGGUGCGAAAGACCGGGGCUCAACCCCGGGGCGGCACUUGAAACUGUGUGGCUUGAGUACAGGAGAGGGAAGUGGAAUUCCUAGUGUAGCGGUGAAAUGCGUAGAUAUUAGGAGGAACACCAGUGGCGAAGGCGACUUU